Molecule: non-coding RNA, 179 nt
Filed under: Marinobacter antarcticus
Lineage: Bacteria; Pseudomonadati; Pseudomonadota; Gammaproteobacteria; Pseudomonadales; Marinobacteraceae
Description: Marinobacter sp. ZS2-30 Bacterial small subunit ribosomal RNA
Rfam family: Bacterial small subunit ribosomal RNA
Source: Rfam by way of RNAcentral
AAACUGAAGAGUUUGAUCAUGGCUCAGAUUGAACGCUGGCGGCAGGCUUAACACAUGCAAGUCGAGCGGAAACGAUGGUAGCUUGCUACCAGGCGUCGAGCGGCGGACGGGUGAGUAAUGCUUAGGAAUCUGCCCAGUAGUGGGGGAUAGCCCGGGGAAACUCGGAUUAAUACCGCAUA